CCUACGGGAGGCAGCAGUGAGGAAUAUUGGUCAAUGGUCGGGAGACUGAACCAGCCAAGCCGCGUGAGGGAUGAAGGUACAGAGUAUCGUAAACCUCUUUUGUCAGGGAACAAAGGCGGGGACGUGUCCCCGGAUGAGUGUACCUGAAGAAAAAGCAUCGGCUAACUCCGUGCCAGCAGCCGCGGUACUACGGAGGAUGCGAGCGUUAUCCGGCUUUAUUGGGUUUAAAGGGUGCGCAGGCGGUCUGUUAAGUCAGCGGUCAAAGCCCGGGGCUCAACCCCGGCCCGCCGUUGAAACUGGCAGUCGCGAGUUGGAGAGAAGUAUGCGGAAUUCGCGGUGUAGCGGUGAAAUGCAUAGAUAUCGCGAAGAACUCCGAUUGCGAAGGCAGCAUGCCGGCUCCACACUGACGCUGAGGCACGAAAGCGUGGGUAUCGAACAGGAUUAGAUACCCGUGUAGUC
RNAcentral lists this ribosomal RNA (459 nucleotides) under uncultured bacterium. RNAcentral describes it as "partial 16S ribosomal RNA". It matches the Rfam family "Bacterial small subunit ribosomal RNA", at positions 338 to 795 of the family's 1533-position model. The record is from RNAcentral.